CGCGCAAAAUAAUCCAAUUCUGACACAAGGGAGGUAGUGACAAUAAAUAACAAUACCGGCUUUUUCAGGUCUGGUAAUUGGAAUGAGUACUAUCUAAACCCCUUAACGAGGAUCAAUUGGAGGGCAAGUCUGGUGCCAGCAGCCGCGGUAAUUCCAGCUCCAAUAGCGUAUAUUUAAGUUGCUGCAGUUAAAAAGCUCGUAGUUGGAUUUCGGGCGGGGGCCUGCCGGUCCGCCGUUUCGGUGUGCACUGGCCGAGCCCGCCUUGUUGCCGGGGACGGGCUCCUGGGCUUCACUGUCCGGGACUCGGAGUCGGCGCUGUUACUUUGAGUAAAUUAGAGUGUUCAAAGCAGGCCUACGCUCUGAAUACAUUAGCAUGGAAUAACACGAUAGGACUCUGGCCUAUCCUGUUGGUCUGUAGGACCGGAGUAAUGAUUAAGAGGGACAGUCGGGGGCAUUCGUAUUUCAUUGUCAGAGGUGAAAUUCUUGGAUUUAUGAAAGACGAACUACUGCGAAAGCAUUUGCCAAGGAUGUUUUCAUUAAUCAAGAACGAAAGUUGGGGGCUGGAAGACGAUUAGAUACCGUCCUAGUCUCAACCUUUACCGAUGCCGACUAGGGAUCGGCGGAUGUUUCUUCGA
RNAcentral lists this ribosomal RNA (635 nucleotides) under Chlorella sp. KUBS07G. RNAcentral describes it as "SSU rRNA". It matches the Rfam family "Eukaryotic small subunit ribosomal RNA", at positions 433 to 1071 of the family's 1831-position model. RNAcentral also lists the same sequence under 1 other name. The record is from RNAcentral. Lineage: Eukaryota; Viridiplantae; Chlorophyta; Trebouxiophyceae; Chlorellales; Chlorellaceae.